GGUAUUGAAAUAAGAUUUUAAAUGAGUGCUAAGAGAAUGAUUAAACAAUUAAAAGCUUUCUUUAAUUAAAAAAUUAAAUUUAAUUUUUUUAGUGCAAAAGCAAAAAUAAAAUUUAGGGACAAGAAGACCCUAUGAAUUUUUAUUGUUAAUAAUUAAAAUUUAAGUUAUUAAUAAUUUAAUUGGGGCGAUAAAAAAAGAAUAAGUAUCUUUUUAGUUAUAAAAUAAGUUCCGUUUUUAGCGAUUAAAUGAAAUAAAUACUCUAGGGAUAACAGCGUAAUAAUUUUGGAUAGUUCAUAUAGAUAAAAUAGUUUGCGACCUCGAUGUUGGAUUAGGAUUCU
RNAcentral lists this ribosomal RNA (338 nucleotides) under Ixodes scapularis (black-legged tick). Its description in RNAcentral is "partial 16S ribosomal RNA". Lineage: Eukaryota; Metazoa; Arthropoda; Arachnida; Ixodida; Ixodidae. The record is from RNAcentral.